RNAcentral lists this ribosomal RNA (218 nucleotides) under uncultured bacterium. RNAcentral describes it as "partial 16S ribosomal RNA". It matches the Rfam family "Bacterial small subunit ribosomal RNA", at positions 122 to 334 of the family's 1533-position model. The record is from RNAcentral.
UAACCUACCAUCAGAGGGGGAUAACACUUGGAAACAGGUGCUAAUACCGCAUAACAGUUUAUGCCGCAUGGCAUAAGAGUGAAAGGCGCUUUCGGGUGUCGCUGAUGGAUGGACCCGCGGUGCAUUAGCUAGUUGGUGAGGUAACGGCUCACCAAGGCCACGAUGCAUAGCCGACCUGAGAGGGUGAUCGGCCACACUGGGACUGAGACACGGCCCAG